RNAcentral lists this long non-coding RNA (1859 nucleotides) under Cucumis sativus (cucumber). RNAcentral describes it as "long non-coding RNA (CSAT_LNC000179)". The record is from RNAcentral. Lineage: Eukaryota; Viridiplantae; Streptophyta; Magnoliopsida; Cucurbitales; Cucurbitaceae.
GAUUCUGAGUGAUCUCGAAGUUUCUUGCCCACAAAAGCCGAACGGUGACGCCCCAGACUCGGUUUCUUGGUUCCGUCCCAAAACGCCGAAGAAAGGCACAAUGGCCUAGAAAGGGAAGGUCGGACUUGGAACGGGGUCCGAGGCCUCGAAAGUCAACAUCUAGCUACUGGGUGGUCCGAUUCUGAGUGAUCUCGAAGUUUCUUGCCCACAAAAGCCGAACGGUGACGCCCCAGACUCGGUUUCUUGGUUCCGUCCCAAAACGCCGAAGAAAGGCACAAUGGCCUAGAAAGGGACGGUCGGACUUGGAACGGGGUCCGAGGCCUCGAAAGUCCACAUCUAGCUACUGGGUGGUCCGAUUCUUUGUGAUCUCGAAGUUUCUUGCCCACAAAAGCCGAACGGUGACGCCCCAGACUCGGUUUCUUGGUUCCGUCCCAAAACGCCGAAGAAAGGCACAAUGGCCUAGAAAGGGACGGUCGGACUUGGAACGGGGUUCGAGGCCUCGAAAGUCCACAUCUAGCUACUGGGUGGUCCGAUUCUUUGUGAUCUCGAAGUUUCUUGCCCACAAAAGCCGAACGGUGACGCCCCAGACUCGGUUUCUUGGUUCCGUCCCAAAACGCCGAAGAAAGGCACAAUGGCCUAGAAAGGGACGGUCGGACUUGGAACGGGGUCCGAGGCCUCGAAAGUCCACAUCUAGCUACUGGGUGGUUCGAUUCUGAGUGAUCUCGAAGUUUCUUGCCCACAAAAGCCGAACGGUGACGCCCCAGACUCGGUUUCUUGGUUCCGUCCCAAAACGCCGAAGAAAGGCACAAUGGCCUAGAAGAAAGGACGGUCGUACUUGGAACGGGGUCCGAGGCCUCGAAAGUCCACAUCUAGCGACUGGGUGGUUCGAUUCUGAGUGAUCUCGAAGUUUCUUGCCCACAAAAGCCGAACGGUGACGCCCCAGACUCGGUUUCUUGGUUCCGUCCCAAAACGCCGAAGAAAGGCAAAAUGGCCUAGAAAGGGACGGUCGGACUCGAAACGGGGUCCGAGGCCUCGAAAGUCCACAUCUAGCGACUGGGUGGUCCGAUUCUGAGUGAUCUCGAAGUUUCUUGCCCACAAAAGCAGAACGGUGACGCCCUAGACUCGGUUUCUUGGUUCCGUCCCAAAACGCCAAAGAAAGGCACAAUGACCAAGAAAGGGAUGGUCGGACUUGGAACGGGGUCUGAGGCCUCGAAAGUCCACAUCUAGCUACUGGGUGGUCCGAUUCUUUGUGAUCUCGAAGUUUCUUGCCCACAAAAGCCGAACGGUGACGCCCCAGACUCGGUUUCUUGGUUCCGUCCCAAACAGCCGAAGAAAGGCACAAUGGCCUAGAAAGGGACAGUCGGACUCGAAACGGGGUCCGAGGCCUCGAAAGACCACAUCUAGCUACUGGGUGGUCCGAUUUUGAGUGAUCUCGAAGUUGCUUGCCCACAAAAGCCGAACGGUGACGCCCCAGACUCGGUUUCUUGGUUUUGUCCCAAAACGCCAAAGAAAGGCACAAUGGCCUAGAAACGGACGGUCGAACUUGGAACGGGGUCUGAGGCCUCGAAAGUCCACAUCUAGCUACUGGGUGGUCCGAUUCUGAGUGACCUCGAAGUUUCUUGCCCACAAAAGCCGAACGGUGACGCCCCAGACUCGGUUUCUUGGUUCCGUCCCAAAACGCCGAAGAAAGGCACAAUGGCCUAGAAAGGGACGGUCGAACUUGGAAUGGGGUCCGAGGCCUCGAAAGUCCACAUCUAGCUACUGGGUGGUCCGAUUCUUUGUGAUCUCGAAGUUUCUUACCCACAAAAGCCUAACGGUGACGCCCCAGACUCGGUUUCUUGGUUCCGUCCCAAAACGCC